This is a long non-coding RNA of Apus apus (common swift), 2633 nucleotides long. RefSeq lists it as uncharacterized. The transcript has 2 exons. Lineage: Eukaryota; Metazoa; Chordata; Aves; Apodiformes; Apodidae. The record is from RefSeq and is a predicted model, not a curated record.
UGCUUAGGUCACCCAUUCUUGCAAGAAUGUAAAUAAACUGUGCUUCCCUGAAGGAUCUGUGUGGGCCUGCUCAUUGGCACGACAGACGUUUCUCACAAAUUUUAGGGGCUCGUCUGGGAGCUGAAGUCAUCAUCCAGGGAGCCGUCACCUCUGAAGAACGGAAAGGUGCACCCCGUUGAGUUCAACGGUUCCGUGGAUCGGCGGCGCUGGCUCCAGGGAGACUGACCAAGACCCGAGACUGGUUAUAAACAGAUCCCACGAACCACAGAGGGGGAAAUAAAGGAUAAAGGAAAGUAGGCGCCCUGAUAUCGACCAGGCAGACUCUGUGCACAGACCAAGGCACCAAGGGUUCUUGGCGCAGACUCCACCCUUGGAAUCUGCAGUGCAUCGAUUUCAGCCUGGAGACUGGGUCCUGGUUAAAUCCUGGAAAGAAGCCAAACUCCAACCAACCUGGGAAGGACCACUUCAAGUUCUGUUGACUACAGAGACUGCCAUCUGGACAGCUGAGAAAGGGUGGACUCAUUAUACCUGACUCAAAGGAUCAGUAGAGGCUCCACCUGAGAAGGAACAGUGGCAGGCCUACCCAGCUGAAAACCCCUUGUGCCUUAAACUGAAGAAGCACUAGAAUUGAUCCAUGCUAACUGAUGAAGUAGAGUUUGCAGUAAUUCUGGUUAUUGCAGUUAUUGGGUUAAUGUUUAUCUGUUGUGUGGAAAAACAUCGGUUCUGUGGGCAUAAAAGGAGAAGAGAACCUUUUAGUGAAAAUGAGGGGGAUCAUCAUAAUAGUGAGUUGUUGUCUGUGGAUCCAAAAGUAGUAACCUUGACAGAGGUCAAGGAUGUAAAGCAAACCUUUGAAAUUGAAACUGGAUAUGGAGAGACAAAUGCCUGGGUAGAAUGGGUCAAAUAUACAGUGCAAAGUUUGAAUCAAAGUAAUUGUUAUGCUUGUGCCUCAGGGAGGCCUAUGGCACAGAUAGUUCCUUUUCCAUUGGGGUGGAGCAAAGACCCACAGGGAAUGAAAUGCAUGAUUGCUUGAUAUCAAGACACAACUGCAUGGGGUGAUGAGGCUUGCAAGUCUCUAUCGCUGCUUUUUCCUGCUGUACAGAUCAAGGACCUCAGAGUGCCUUCUGCUUUCUCUGUAGUGCCCGGUAACCAUACAGCUUGUCUCUCACGAUAUCGGAGCUUUGGAGAUGUGUAUUGAGUCACUGAAUGUGACUGGUGACAAAGCAGGAAACUACUCAGCUAUGAGUGUCCCCAGGGCAGAUCUGUGGUGGUAUUGUGGAGGAAAAAUUCUAAGGUCUGUGCUCCCUUACAAUUGGAAAGGUACCUGUGCUCUUAUUCAAUUGGCCAUUCCAUUCACCCUGGCAUAUGUAAAAGAGCCUCAUGUUGGGAGAGAGAGAACAAAAAGAGGUCUAGGGAUAUCAUUUGAUGAUAGGAUUUACAUUGAUGCUAUUGGGGUCCCCAGGGGAGUUCCUGAUGAGCACAAAGCUAGAAAUCAGAUAGCUGCAGGAUUUGAGUCCUUCCUGUUCUGGUGGGUAACAGUAAAUUAUAUUUAUUAUAACCAAAGGUUCAUCAACUAUACGAGGGAUGCAGUCAAAGGAAUUGCAGAACAACUGGAUGCCACCAGUAGGAUGGCAUGGGAAAAUAGAAUAGCAUUAGACAUGAUACUGGCAGAAAAGGGGGGUGUAUGUGUAAUGCUGGGGAAUAAGUGCUGUACUUUUAUUCCAAAUAAUACUGCCCCUACAAUAACUAAGGCACUGCAAGGACUCACUACUCUGGCAGAUGAAUUAGCAGAAAAUUUGGGAAUAGAUAGCUCACUCACUGGAUGGUUAGAGUCCUGGUUUGGGAAAUGGAAGGAGACGAUAAUUUCCAUUUUAACAUCCUUAAUUAUAAUAACGCUGACACAAUGCUAUUAUUAGAUGAGCAAAAUCCAGACUGUCUCUCCCCUGAAGAGAGAUGUGAAAUCAUGUUGUUCGAACUAGAGGCAUCUUACAAAACAACCUGAGAUAAUGCAAAAAGCAACAGUAGGGUAAAUAAAAGAAGGGGGAAUUGUUAGAAAUUAAAUGUAAUGUUGAUUUUGCAUUCUAGUGUUAGAAACAUAGUGUUGGGUUUGGCUCACAUAUAUAUAUAUAUAUAUACACACUUUAGUGUUAGGAAUAUAAUAGUUUGAGAUAAGUGAGAUAUCUGCACAUUCCAAUUAUACCAAGAGUGGUUUACGGCCAAGAAACUGAGAGACUUAAUUGGGCUCCAUCUGGGGGAUCUGAACAUGGAGAAGGAUUUAUGGCCCAAGAUAAGGCCGAACAAAGCUACUUCUAUGUUGCUCCUCAGGGCAGGAUGACAACAGUAGAUUGUUAAUUGGGAAGGCAGCCAAGGGGGCAAGAAAGGUCAAAAUUUGACCUUAAAAGGUAAAAAGUAACCUGCUAGAAUGGAAUGUGUAAACAGGGGCGGGAAACUUAUACGAUAAUUUGAAGCGUCGGAUGGGCUGUAAACCCUGGGGUACCCAGCCAGUGGGGAAACAGGGGAGGGAACUUUGCGUCGGGAAUAGGGAACAUAAACCAUUAUUCACCUUGCUAUGGGUGUGCCUACUUGCUUAGGUCACCCAUUCUUGCAAGAAUGUAAAUAAACUGUGCUUCGCUGAA